UAGGGAAUCUUCCACAAUGGACGCAAGUCUGAUGGAGCAACGCCGCGUGAGUGAAGAAGGCUUUCGGGUCGUAAAACUCUGUUAUUGAAGAAGAACGUGUGUGACAGUAACUGGUCAUGCAGUGACGGUAUUCAAUCAGAAAGUCACGGCUAACUACGUGCCAGCAGCCGCGGUAAUACGUAGGUGGCAAGCGUUGUCCGGAUUUAUUGGGCGUAAAGCGAGUGCAGGCGGUCUUUUAAGUCUGAUGUGAAAGCCUUCGGCUUAACCGAAGAAGGGCAUCGGAAACUGGGAGACUUGAGUGCAGAGGAGUNNGUGGAACUCCAUGUGUAGCGGUGAAAUGCGUAGAUAUAUGGAAGAACACCAGUGGCGAAGGCGGCUCUCUGUCUGUAACUGACGCUGAGGCUGCGAAAGCGU
RNAcentral lists this ribosomal RNA (414 nucleotides) under uncultured bacterium. RNAcentral's name for it is "partial 16S ribosomal RNA". It matches the Rfam family "Bacterial small subunit ribosomal RNA", at positions 355 to 762 of the family's 1533-position model. The record is from RNAcentral.